GACGAACGCUGGCGGCGUGCUUAACACAUGCAAGUCGAACGGAAAGGCCCUGCUUUUGUGGGGUUCUCGAGUGGCGAACGGGUGAGUAACACGUGUGUAACCUGCCCUUGACUUUGGGAUAACUUCAGGAAACUGGGGCUAAUACCGGAUAGGAGCUCCUGCUGCAUGGUGGGGGUUGGAAAGUUUCGGCGGUUGGGGAUGGACUCGCGGCUUAUCAGCUUGUUGGUGGGGUAGUGGCUUACCAAGGCUUUGACGGGUAGCCGGCCUGAGAGGGUGACCGGCCACAUUGGGACUGAGAUACGGCCCAGACGCCUACGGGAGGCAGCAGUGGGGAAUAUUGCACAAUGGGCGGAAGCCUGAUGCAGCAACGCCGCGUGCGGGAUGACGGCCUUCGGGUUGUAAACCGCUUUCGCCUGUGACGAAGCGUGAGUGACGGUAAUGGGUAAAGAAGCACCGGCUAACUACGUG
Molecule: ribosomal RNA, 468 nt
Filed under: uncultured bacterium
Lineage: Bacteria
Description: partial 16S ribosomal RNA
Rfam family: Bacterial small subunit ribosomal RNA
Source: RNAcentral